AGUGAACGCUGGCGGUAGGCCUAACACAUGCAAGUCGAACGGCAGCACAGGAGAGCUUGCUCUCUGGGUGGCGAGUGGCGGACGGGUGAGGAAUACAUCGGAAUCUACUUUUUCGUGGGGGAUAACGUAGGGAAACUUACGCUAAUACCGCAUACGACCUACGGGUGAAAGCAGGGGACCUUCGGGCCUUGCGCGAUUGAAUGAGCCGAUGUCGGAUUAGCUAGUUGGCGGGGUAGAGGCCCACCAAGGCGACGAUCCGUAGCUGGUCUGGGAGGAUGACCAGCCACACUGGAACUGAGGCACGGUCCAGACUCCUACGGGAGGCAGCAGUGGGGAAUAUUGGACAAUGGGCGCAAGCCUGAUCCAGCCAUACCGCGUGGGUGAAGAAGGCCUUCGGGUUGUAAAGCCCUUUUGUUGGGAAAGAAAUCCAGCUGGCUAAUACCCGGUUGGGAUGACGGUACCCAAAGAAUAAGCACCGGCUAACUUCGUGCCAGCAGCCGCGGUAA
RNAcentral lists this ribosomal RNA (506 nucleotides) under uncultured bacterium. Its description in RNAcentral is "partial 16S ribosomal RNA". It matches the Rfam family "Bacterial small subunit ribosomal RNA", at positions 29 to 523 of the family's 1533-position model. The record is from RNAcentral.